Vigna unguiculata (cowpea) is the source of this 666-nucleotide long non-coding RNA. RefSeq lists it as uncharacterized. Lineage: Eukaryota; Viridiplantae; Streptophyta; Magnoliopsida; Fabales; Fabaceae. The record is from RefSeq and is a predicted model, not a curated record.
CAUAACAUACCAUAUUUACACUCACAGAAAAGUUAGAACCCAAACUCUCUCACUUUCUAACCCUAGCCGCCUGAUUUGAGACUUUGAGGUUUUUCUUGAAGAUCUGAUCUUAUGGAAGCCUCUGAAAGAAUGGCUUUCAUCUGCUUCAUUUUAGUCUCUGCUGUGAUUUCCUUGAUUAGAACAGGUUGUGUGUGAUUGGUCCCUAAGUGAGGAUGACAAGAAGAAUCCAAUUAUUGCAAGUCCAUUCUGUGUUCAAGAACUUACAGGUUGAGUACUUUGUACAUGUGGAUGCUGAUCCUCUUGAUCAUGAAGGAAAUGAUUGUAAUGAGGUUGGGAAUUCUCCUCCUCAAUAAAAGCCUUGUAAACAGGGACAAGAAAAAAACCUGCAUGGUGACAACAGUUGAACCUCACUCUUGUGAUGGGCAAGUCUGGAUUCCCCUACCAGCAGAAGGAGUGUGAGGAAGGUCACAGUUGAUCAUUUUAGUGAGGAAAACACAUUGUUACAUAAUGUUACAUAAUGUUACAUCGGUAUUGUGCGAAUUAUUGCCAUGUGAAUCUGAUUCCCUCAUUUCAUUUUUGUAUUUAUUUCAUAUAUCCCUCUCAUACUUAGUAUGAUUGUUAUCAUAGGUUUUCUUGAAUUACUAUGUUCAUUAGUUUUUCCUUGCA